Molecule: ribosomal RNA, 621 nt
Filed under: uncultured bacterium
Lineage: Bacteria
Description: bacterial SSU rRNA
Rfam family: Bacterial small subunit ribosomal RNA (bases 1-519)
Source: RNAcentral
CCUACGGGAGGCAGCAGUGGGGAAUAUUGGACAAUGGGCGAAAGCCUGAUCCAGCAAUGCCGCGUGAGUGAUGAAGGCCUUAGGGUUGUAAAGCUCUUUUACCAGGGAUGAUAAUGACAGUACCUGGAGAAUAAGCUCCGGCUAACUCCGUGCCAGCAGCCGCGGUAAUACGGAGGGAGCUAGCGUUGUUCGGAAUUACUGGGCGUAAAGCGUACGUAGGCGGUUAUUCAAGUCAGAGGUGAAAGCCUGGAGCUCAACUCCAGAACUGCCUUUGAAACUAGAUAGCUAGAAUCUUGGAGAGGUGAGUGGAAUUCCGAGUGUAGAGGUGAAAUUCGUAGAUAUUCGGAAGAACACCAGUGGCGAAGGCGACUCACUGGACAAGUAUUGACGCUGAAGUACGAAAGCGUGGGGAGCAAACAGGAUUAGAUACCCUGGUAGUCCACGCCGUAAACGAUGAUAACUAGCUGUUCGGGCUCUACGAGCUUGAGUGGCGCNGCUACGACAUUAAGUUAGUCCGUCCGUCGGGUAGGUACGGUCGGCGAAGAAGUUAAACGUAACGUAAAGUUAAAGUUAGUACGGUUACGUUGAGACGUUGCCGACGGACGACGACGAGGGAGGAGG